GAUACGUACAAGCUACGUGGUUACAGCAUUCGCCUCGGAUGCGGGAUGUCGUGGGUUUGAACCCCGUCAUAAUCA
This is a non-coding RNA of Potamilus streckersoni, 75 nucleotides long. Lineage: Eukaryota; Metazoa; Mollusca; Bivalvia; Unionida; Unionidae. The record is from the annotation of a GenBank genome assembly.